CUGACACAGGGAGGUAGUGACAAUAAAUAACAAUGCCGGGCCUUUAUAGGUCUGGCAAUUGGAAUGAGAACAAUUUAAACCCCUUAUCGAGUAUCAAUUGGAGGGCAAGUCUGGUGCCAGCAGCCGCGGUAAUUCCAGCUCCAAUAGCGUAUAUUAAAGUUGUUGCAGUUAAAAAGCUCGUAGUUGGAUUUGUGGUGUAUGUUGGCGGCCUGUCACUAUGUGUCGGAGCUUGCUAACGUCGCCAUCCUUGGGUGGAUCCUGUGUGGCAUUAAGUUGUCGUGCAGGGGAUGCCCAUCUUUUACUGUGAGUUAAUUAGAGUGUUCAAAGCAGGCUUAUGCCGUUGAAUAUGCUAGCAUGGAAUAAUGAGAUAGGACCUUGGUACUAUUUUGUUGGUUUGCGCACCAAGGUAAUGAUUAAUAGGGACAGUUGGGGGUAUUCGUAUUCCAUUGUCAGAGGUGAAAUUCUUGGA
RNAcentral lists this ribosomal RNA (469 nucleotides) under uncultured diatom. RNAcentral describes it as "SSU rRNA". It matches the Rfam family "Eukaryotic small subunit ribosomal RNA", at positions 451 to 924 of the family's 1831-position model. The record is from RNAcentral. Lineage: Eukaryota; Bacillariophyta.